RNAcentral lists this ribosomal RNA (393 nucleotides) under uncultured bacterium. RNAcentral's name for it is "partial 16S ribosomal RNA". It matches the Rfam family "Bacterial small subunit ribosomal RNA", at positions 523 to 918 of the family's 1533-position model. The record is from RNAcentral.
AUACGGAGGACGCGAGCGUUAUCCGGAUUCAUUGGGUUUAAAGGGUGCGCAGGCGGCCGUGCAAGUCAGCGGUGAAAGCCCGGGGCUCAACCCCGGAAGUGCCGUUGAUACUGCAUGGCUGGAAUGCGGUCGAGGCGGGCGGAAAGGGGCGGGUAGGGGGGAAAUGCGUAGAUAUGGCACAGAACGCCGAUAGCGGAGGCAGCUCGCCAGGCCUGCAUUGACGCUCGGGCACGAAAGCGUGGGGAUCGAACAGGAUGAGAUACCCUGGUAGUCCACGCCGUAAACGAUGGCCGCUCGUCGUCGGCGGCAGACAGUCGGCGGCCAAGCGAAAGCGAUAAGCGCCCCACCUGGGGAGUACGGUCGCAAGGCUGAAACUUAAAGGAAUUGACGGGG